CCACUGGAUGCGUCGAAUAACAAAAUCGAGUGUUCUUACUUUGAAGUAUAACUGAUUUUGUAUGAGACGCAUUCCAGUGGC
Molecule: microRNA precursor, 81 nt
Filed under: Caenorhabditis japonica
Lineage: Eukaryota; Metazoa; Nematoda; Chromadorea; Rhabditida; Rhabditidae
Description: pre miRNA Cjp-lsy-6
Rfam family: lsy-6 microRNA precursor family
Source: RNAcentral